AUGAAGAAAGAAUAUGGAGGGCUUGGGAUCCCCAAUAUCAGAGAUCUUAACUUGUGUCUACUGGGCAGUUGGGUCAAGAGAUAUGCCCAAGAUGAGGGCAAAAUCUGGAAAACCAUUGUAGAUAACAAAUAUAUUAGGAAUGCUCCUAAUAUAUUUGCAUGUAGGCCACAAGCCUCUUCAAAUUUUUGGCAAGGGGUUAUGUGGGCUGCCAAAGCUCUUAAGUUUGGCUACAGAUGGGUAGUAGGAAAUGGUAGGAAGAUUAGAUUUUGGGAGGAUAUCUGGUUUGGAACCUCCCCACUCUCUGUUCAGUUUUGGCCUUUGUACUCCAUUUUUCACCAACAAUGUGUGACAGUCUCUGAAGUUUGGGAUGGGAGUAACAUUAAACUUACUUUUAGGAGGAUAUUUACCCCUGCCAUGAUGGAGGAGUGGUACUGCCUUGAACAAAUCAUAAAGGAGACUGUGCUCAAAACUGAUGUUGAUGCUAUGGUCUGGCAGUAUGAAUCCAAGGGGGUCUACUCUUCUAGUUCACUUUAUGCCAUAAUCAAUUUUAGAGGGGUGAAGCCUGUCUAUAUCCCCUCUGUGUGGUCCAUUGUUGUGCCUCCCAGAAUCCAGGUUUUCCUCUGGCUCCUGGCGCAUAAUAAACUUAUGACCAAGACAAUUUGCUUAAAAGGGGCAUAG
RNAcentral lists this ribosomal RNA (678 nucleotides) under Triticum aestivum (bread wheat). RNAcentral describes it as "partial small subunit ribosomal RNA". The record is from RNAcentral. Lineage: Eukaryota; Viridiplantae; Streptophyta; Magnoliopsida; Poales; Poaceae.